This 496-nucleotide ribosomal RNA is filed under the name uncultured bacterium. RNAcentral's name for it is "partial 16S ribosomal RNA". It matches the Rfam family "Bacterial small subunit ribosomal RNA", at positions 28 to 506 of the family's 1533-position model. The record is from RNAcentral.
GAUGAACGCUGGCGGCGUGCCUAAUACAUGCAAGUCGAGCGAACAGACGAGGAGCUUGCUCCUCUGACGUUAGCGGCGGACGGGUGAGUAACACGUGGAUAACCUACCUAUAAGACUGGGAUAACUUCGGGAAACCGGAGCUAAUACCGGAUAAUAUAUUGAACCGCAUGGUUCAAUAGUGAAAGACGGUUUUGCUGUCACUUAUAGAUGGAUCCGCGCCGCAUUAGCUAGUUGGUAAGGUAACGGCUUACCAAGGCAACGAUGCGUAGCCGACCUGAGAGGGGGAUCGGCCACACUGGAACUGAGACACGGUCCAGACUCCUACGGGAGGCAGCAGUAGGGAAUCUUCCGCAAUGGGCGAAAGCCUGACGGAGCAACGCCGCGUGAGUGAUGAAGGUCUUCGGAUCGUAAAACUCUGUUAUUAGGGAAGAACAAAUGUGUAAGUAACUAUGCACGUCUGGACGGUACCUAAUCAGAAAGCCACGGCUAACUACGU